Danio rerio (zebrafish) is the source of this 1018-nucleotide non-coding RNA. Lineage: Eukaryota; Metazoa; Chordata; Actinopteri; Cypriniformes; Danionidae. The record is from RefSeq and is a predicted model, not a curated record.
GAACUCAAGCGCCUUGAGAACAUCACGCACAAGGAAGCCUUCUUGUCGUCUCUGAAGAUAUGGCAAGUAUGUGGACAUUUUAGUAAAGGUAGUGGAGGAUCUGAGGCAGUCAGUGAAGCCAAAGCCCAAUGUCAAAAGGUUAAUGGCUUCAUUGGAAGAAAAAUCUCUGCAGUCUCCCCGGAAAUCCCUCCGUUCUAAAAUAAAAAACCUCACCCCAAGUGAAGGGUUGACCCAUAAUCAAGUGAGAACAAGACUAAUACUUGUAUAAUUUUCAGAUAUUAUAAUGUUGUUGUUGUUGUUACAUUAAUAGGAAAUUGCACAACUGGAGAUAAAAUGCAUUGUGUUGUUGUUAACUUAUUAUCCACAGCCUUGUGACUUUUAUUUUUCCAGGCUUUUAGGGGGUGAUCAGGUCUUAAGGUCAUUAUCCUGAACUUGCAUCCAUUCCGUUCUCAUGAAUGCAUAUAUGCUGUCUGCUUUAAUGAAAAGAUCUACGUAUGUGUGCGUGCAUGCGUGUGUGUGUAAUAUUAUAAGUGUGUGUUUAUACAUUCCAGGACAUUGAAUCCAGAGAGGCAGAGGAAGACAUGGCAGGAAACACCAUGGGUAUCUACAAAGUACAAUCAGAGGAUCAUGGUCAGGGUGAUGGACGCUUCACUGAUGUCCGUGUUGUGCUGGAAGGUGUGGAGGUUCUCCACAACCUGCAGAGUGUCACUCAUGCAGGGGUAUGUUAUAUGGCCUGAUCUACGCACUCAAUUUGAACUACCCUAAAAGCCUGAAGUGUACAUUUUGAGGUGUAUCAGAAAAUCCUGAUGGACCUGGACUCAACCAAGCUUUCCCCGAAAGUACAGACACUGAAACUGAAAUUGCUCCAGUGAUUUGGCUAAAAAUAAUAACUUAUACAGCCCCUACCCAUUUUUUUUUUCACAUUGUGCUCCAACCCAGAGAUAUGUUAAAAUGAUUUCCUAGUUCUAUAAUGAUAUGUUAAUUAGCAACUGAAAAUGGAUCUCUGAGUACAGUUUUA